GACGAACGCUGGCGGCGUGCUUAACACAUGCAAGUCGAACGGAAAGGCCCUGCUUUUGUGGUGUGCUCGAGUGGCGAACGGGUGAGUAACACGUGAGUAACCUGCCCUUGACUUUGGGAUAACUUCAGGAAACUGGGGCUAAUACCGUAUAGGAUCUCCUGCUGCAUGGUGGGGGUUGGAAAGUUUCGGCGGUUGGGGAUGGACUCGCGGCUUAUCAGCUUGUUGGUGGGGUAGUGGCUUACCAAGGCUUUGACGGGUAGCCGGCCUGAGAGGGUGAACGGCCACAUUGGGACUGAGAUACGGCCCAGACUCCUACGGGAGGCAGCAGUGGGGAAUAUUGCACAAUGGGCGGAAGCCUGAUGCAGCAACGCCGCGUGCGGGAUGACGGCCUUCGGGUUGUAAACCGCUUUCGCCUGUGACGAAGCGUGAGUGACGGUAAUGGGUAAAGAAGCACCGGCUAACUACGUG
Molecule: ribosomal RNA, 468 nt
Filed under: uncultured bacterium
Lineage: Bacteria
Description: partial 16S ribosomal RNA
Rfam family: Bacterial small subunit ribosomal RNA
Source: RNAcentral